GCCAGCAGCCGCGGUAAUACAGAGGGUGCAAGCGUUAAUCGGAAUUACUGGGCGUAAAGCGCGCGUAGGUGGUUUGUUAAGUUGGAUGUGAAAGCCCUGUGCUCUACCUGGGAACUGCAUCCCAAACUGGCAAGCUAGAGUACGGUAGAGGGUGUUUGGAUUUCCUGUGUAGCGGUGAAAUGCGUAGAUAUAGGAAGGAACACCAGCGGCGAAGGCGACCACCUGGACUGAUACUGACACUGAGGUGCGAAAAAGUGGGGAGCAAACAGGAUUAGAUACCCUGGUAGUCCACGCCGUAAACGAUGUCAACUAGCCGUUGGUAUCCUUGAGAUUUUAGUGGCGCAGCUUACGCAUUAAGUUGACCGCCUGGGGAGUACGGCCGCAAGGUUAAUACUCUAAUGUAUUGACGGGGGCCCGCACAAGCGGUGGAGCAUGUGGUUUAAUUCGAAGCAACGCGAAGAACCUUACCAGGCCUUGAAAU
This 481-nucleotide ribosomal RNA is filed under the name bacterium 8-LKL4. RNAcentral's name for it is "bacterial SSU rRNA". It matches the Rfam family "Bacterial small subunit ribosomal RNA", at positions 507 to 987 of the family's 1533-position model. The record is from RNAcentral.